Molecule: unclassified non-coding RNA, 353 nt
Filed under: soil metagenome
Description: partial contains 5.8S ribosomal RNA, internal transcribed spacer 2, and large subunit ribosomal RNA
Rfam family: 5.8S ribosomal RNA (bases 1-120)
Source: RNAcentral
GAUGAAGAACGCAGCGAAAUGCGAUAAGUAAUGUGAAUUGCAGAAUUCAGUGAAUCAUCGAAUCUUUGAACGCACAUUGCGCCCGCCAGUAUUCUGGCGGGCAUGCCUGUCCGAGCGUCAUUUCAACCCUCGAACCCCUCCGGGGGGUCGGCGUUGGGGAUCGGCCCUUUCACCGCGUGCCGUCCCCCAAAUACAGUGGCGGUCUCGCCGCAGCCUCUCAUGCGCAGUAGUUUGCACACUCGCACCGGGAGCGCGGCGCGUCCACGUCCGUAAAACACCCCAAACUUCUGAAAUGUUGACCUCGGAUCAGGUAGGAAUACCCGCUGAACUUAAGCAUAUCAAUAAGCGGAGGA